UGGGCCGAACUGACGCUGAGGAGCGAAAGGGUGGGGAGCAAACAGGCUUAGAUACCCUGGUAGUCCACCCCGUAAACGUUGGGAACUAGUUGUGGGGCCGUGACGCAGCUAACGCAUUAAGUUCCCCGCCUGGGGAGUACGGCCGCAAGGCUAAAACUCAAAGGAAUUGACGGGGACCCGCACAAGCGGCGGAGCAUGCGGAUUAAUUCGAUGCAACGCGAAGAACCUUACCAAGGCUUGACAUACAGGUGGUGCAUGGUUGUCGUCAGCUCGUGUCGUGAGAUGUUGGGUUAAGUCCCGCAACGAGCGCAACCCUCGUUCUAUGUUGCAACUCAUGGGAUACUGCCGGGGUCAACUCGGAGGAAGGUGGGGAUGACGUCAAAUCAUCAUGCCCUUAUGUCUUGGGCUUCACGCAUGCUACAAUGGCCGGUACAAAGGGCUGCAAUACCGUAAGGUGGAGCGAAUCCCAAAAAGCCGGUCCCAGUUCGGAUUGAGGUCUGCAACUCGACCUCAUGAAGUCGGAGUCGCUAGCAAUCGCAGAUCAGCACGCUGCGGUGAAUA
RNAcentral lists this ribosomal RNA (561 nucleotides) under uncultured bacterium. RNAcentral's name for it is "bacterial SSU rRNA". It matches the Rfam family "Bacterial small subunit ribosomal RNA", at positions 731 to 1368 of the family's 1533-position model. The record is from RNAcentral.